This is a long non-coding RNA of Astatotilapia calliptera (eastern happy), 1459 nucleotides long. Lineage: Eukaryota; Metazoa; Chordata; Actinopteri; Cichliformes; Cichlidae. The record is from Ensembl.
UCUCUCGGCUGAACACACGCAUGCACACGCACACACACACACACAUGUGCAUGUACACUGACACAGAGCUUCAUGGAUUCAUUAAAGAAACGGGAACGCUGACGUGUUUCUGUGACGGGAAACAACGGGUCAGAGGGGACGUGAGACGCUGCAUGUAGAGGCUCGAUGAGGAACAGCUGCAGACUCCAGCAUGUCGGUCUGACACAGUCCUCGUUUAUAAAGUAUAACAUAAACUAAUGUGAGCCUGUGAGCCCGGCCAACCAACCGCGUGACGUCACACUCCGUGCUGACAGAAGAUGGCGCUGAACAUGUUUUUAACACUUGAAGCACUGAUUUCUUAAAGCCAGCGUCACAGACAGAGUGACAGCUGUGGGAGUGUCUGAGAGCAGGUCCGUGGGGUAAAGGAGGUGUGCACCACUGAGGGCUGACGGAGGCCACUCAGUGACUUCUUCAUGACCUCUGUGGUUGCGUGCUGUACUUCUGGAUUACCAAAACGCAAGUUUAGAAGGAAAGUGACACACCUGCUUAGCCCCACCCCGUCAGUGAGGUCACAGUUUCAGGUGAGGUCCUCAGGUGUGCUGAUGGUGCUGAUGUUGGGUUUUUUUUUUUCAGAAGCGGCUCUGUUUGGAGGCGGAGCUCCAGAUGUCCGACUGUCCAAUGGAGACGUCGCAGAGCAGUCCUGCGACCAAUCAGCAGCCGGAUCAACAGGUACGGCCCACACCUGUUCUGCUCUGCUGUCCGAGGUGUCUCAGAGGAGAACCGGGUCACUUCAACCACAUCAUGGGCCUCUGAAGCUCCACCCAUUCUCCUGCAACCAGCCGUCCAAUCACAUUGAUGCUUCAGGUGCUUCACUAAAAUGGUGCUGCUGGAAGAUGUCAUCAAGGCCCCACCCCACCUUCACAUCGUUGUCAAGGAGACGGUUUAACGUUUCCAUCCAGUGAUGCAUUCAGGACCAGCAGUACUCCUCAGACUUAAGUUCUGAAAUCUCUGAUGUCCUUGUAUCCCUGAACACACCACUGAGUGUGAGCGUUUACCUGAGCUUUAAGCCCACCCCCUCUCCUGUGUGAUAUGUGCAACAGUCCAAUCAAUGAUCAAUAACUGUGAUUGACGUGGUGGUGCGUUCACUGUCUCCGUUUAAAGGGCUUUCACACGGUGAAGACUUGUGAUGUGUUUACAGGAAAAAUGCCAGUAGAAUAUUUUUUAACUCCAGUAUAGAACCGACUGAAAGGCUUAACGAGGUGUUAAUGAGAGUUUACUAUAAGGGGAAGGAAAAUCCAUGUGGUUUUUCAAAAUAAGAGUCUUCGUGUCUGUACAUUUCUAUUUUUCUGAGGCAGAUUUGUAUAUUUUUUACUCUGAAUUUGACUGAAUGUAAAAGCAGCUCCCUAUUUUUGAUGACAUCACUUCCGCUAUCUGAGGCCAGCAUUUGUACUGAUUUCAGAAUAAAAGCUUUGACUGUGAA